UACGAAGGGGUGCAAGCGUUAAUCGGAAUUACUGGGCGUAAAGGGUGCGUAGGCGGUUCGUUAAGUCUGUCGUGAAAUCCCCGGGCUCAACCUGGGAAUGGCGAUGGAUACUGGCGAGCUAGAGUGUGUCAGAGGAUGGUGGAAUUCCCGGUGUAGCGGUGAAAUGCGUAGAGAUCGGGAGGAACAUCAGUGGCGAAGGCGGCCAUCUGGGACAACACUGACGCUGAAGCACGAAAGCGUGGGGAGCAAACAGG
This 254-nucleotide ribosomal RNA is filed under the name uncultured bacterium. Its description in RNAcentral is "partial 16S ribosomal RNA". It matches the Rfam family "Bacterial small subunit ribosomal RNA", at positions 524 to 776 of the family's 1533-position model. The record is from RNAcentral.